This is a long non-coding RNA of Amblyraja radiata (thorny skate), 190 nucleotides long. RefSeq lists it as uncharacterized. NCBI's taxonomy places the organism in Eukaryota, Metazoa, Chordata, Chondrichthyes, Rajiformes, Rajidae. The transcript has 4 exons. The record is from RefSeq and is a predicted model, not a curated record.
GACAAAUAAAUUGAUGGGAGAAAAUGAGUGUGAGAAACGGGAUGAAUUAGGAGCAGAGAUAACAACAAAAUACAUCGUAGAGACUAUUAAAUCAUUGAAAAGUGGAAAAACUCCUGGCCCGGACGGGUUUAGUAACAAAUUUUAUAAAAAAUGUAAUGAUUUAAUUUCUCCACGUUUACAAGCCCUUUAU